UAACAGGUCGUAGACCCGAAACCAGGUGAUCUACCCAUGUCCAGGAUGAAGGUAAGGUAAUACUUACUGGAGGUCCGAACCCACGCACGUUGAAAAGUGCGGGGAUGAGGUGUGGGUAGCGGAGAAAUUCCAAUCGAACUUGGAGAUAGCUGGUUCUCUCCGAAAUAGCUUUAGGGCUAGCCUCGAGGUAAAGAGUCAUGGAGGUAGAGCACUGUUUGGACUAGGGGCCCUUCUCGGGUUACCGAAUUCAGAUAAACUCCGAAUGCCAUGUACUUAUACUCGGGAGUCAGACUGCGAGUGAUAAGAUCCGUAGUCGAAAGGGAAACAGCCCAGACCACCAGUUAAGGUCCCCAAAUAUAUGUUAAGUGGAAAAGGAUGUGGGGUUGCUUAGACAACCAGGAUGUUGGCUUAGAAGCAGCCACCAUUGAAAGAGUGCGUAAUAGCUCACUGGUCGAGUGACCCCGCGCCGAAAAUGUACCGGGGCUAAACAUAUUACCGAAACUGUGGAUGAACCUCUUUAGAGGUUCGUGGUAGGAGAGCGUUCUAAGGGCGGUGAAGUCAGACCGGAAGGACUGGUGGAGCGCUUAGAAGUGAGAAUGCCGGUAUGAGUAGCGAAAGAAGGGUGAGAAUCCCUUCCACCGAAUAUCUAAGGUUUCCUGAGGAAGGCUCGUCCGCUCAGGGUUAGUCGGGACCUAAGCCGAGGCCGAUAGGCGUAGGCGAUGGACAACAGGUAGAGAUUCCUGUACCAGUGCUAAUUGUUUAACCGAUGGGGUGACACAGAAGGAUAGGGAAUCGCACGAAUGGAAAUGUGCGUCCAAGCAGUGAGUGUGAGAAGUAGGCAAAUCCGCUUCUCGCGAAGCAUGAGCUGUGAUGGGGAAGGAAAUUAAGUACGGAAGUUCCUGAUUUCACGCUGUCAAGAAAAGCCUCUAGGAAGAGUAGUACUGCCCGUACCGCAAACCGACACAGGUAGAUGAGGAGAGAAUCCUAAGGUGAGCGAGAGAACUCUCGUUAAGGAACUCGGCAAAAUGACCCCGUAACUUCGGGAGAAGGGGUGCUCUAUUAGGGUGCAAGCCCGAGAGAGCCGCAGUGAAUAGGCCCAGGCGACUGUUUAGCAAAAACACAGGUCUCUGCAAAACCGUAAGGUGACGUAUAGGGGCUGACGCCUGCCCGGUGCUGGAAGGUUAAGAGGAGUGCUUAGCUUCGGCGAAGGUACGAAUUGAAGCCCCAGUAAACGGCGGCCGUAACUAUAACGGUCCUAAGGUAGCGAAAUUCCUUGUCGGGUAAGUUCCGACCCGCACGAAAGGCGCAACGAUCUGGGCACUGUCUCAACGAGAGACUCGGUGAAAUUAUAGUACCUGUGAAGAUGCAGGUUACCCGCGACAGGACGGAAAGACCCCGUGGAGCUUUACUGCAACCUGAUAUGGAAUGUUUGUACCGCUUGUACAGGAUAGGUAGGAGCCGAAGAGACGUGUGCGCUAGCAUACGAGGAGGCAAUGGUGGGAUACUACCCUGGCUGUAUGACCAUUCUAACCCGCCACGCUUAGCGCGUGGGGAGACAGUGUCAGGUGGGCAGUUUGACUGGGGCGGUCGCCUCCUAAAGAGUAACGGAGGCGCCCAAAGGUUCCCUCAGAAUGGAUGGAAAUCAUUCGCAGAGUGUAAAGGCACAAGGGAGCUUGACUGCGAGACUGACAAGUCGAGCAGGGACGAAAGUCGGGCUUAGUGAUCCGGUGGUUCCGCAUGGAAGGGCCAUCGCUCAACGGAUAAAAGCUACCCCGGGGAUAACAGGCUUAUCUCCCCCAAGAGUCCACAUCGACGGGGAGGUUUGGCACCUCGAUGUCGGCUCGUCGCAUCCUGGGGCUGUAGUCGGUCCCAAGGGUUGGGCUGUUCGCCCAUUAAAGCGGCACGCGAGCUGGGUUCAGAACGUCGUGAGACAGUUCGGUCCCUAUCCGUCGCGGGCGCAGGAAAUUUGAGAGGAGCUGUCCUUAGUACGAGAGGACCGGGAUGGACACAC
This 2011-nucleotide ribosomal RNA is filed under the name Listeria monocytogenes. RNAcentral describes it as "partial 23S ribosomal RNA". It matches the Rfam family "Bacterial large subunit ribosomal RNA", at positions 700 to 2706 of the family's 2925-position model. The record is from RNAcentral. Lineage: Bacteria; Bacillati; Bacillota; Bacilli; Caryophanales; Listeriaceae.